GAUGAACGCUGGCGGCGUGCCUAAUACAUGCAAGUCGAACGCAUUGUGGUUGAAAUGAUAUGAAGAACUUGUUCAGAUUUGAUUUUCAACAUUGCAAUGAGUGGCGAACGGGUGAGUAACACGUGGGAAACCUACUUCUUAGCAGGGGAUAACAUUUGGAAACAAAUGCUAAUACCGUAUAAUAAUUAAAACCGCAUGGUUUUAGUUUAAAAGAUGGUCUUGCUAUCACUAAGAGAUGGUCCCGCGGUGUAUUAGUUAGUUGGUGAGGUAAUGGCUCACCAAGACAAUGAUACAUAGCCGAGUUGAGAGACUGACCGGCCACAAUGGGACUGAGACACGGCCCAUACUCCUACGGGAGGCAGCAGUAGGGAAUCUUCCACAAUGGACGAAAGUCUGAUGGAGCAACGCCGCGUGUGUGAGUGAAGGGUUUCGGCUCGUAAACACUGUUGUAAGAGAAGAAUGACAUUGAGAGUAACUGUCAAUGUGUGACGGUAUCUUACC
RNAcentral lists this ribosomal RNA (501 nucleotides) under uncultured bacterium. Its description in RNAcentral is "bacterial SSU rRNA". It matches the Rfam family "Bacterial small subunit ribosomal RNA", at positions 28 to 484 of the family's 1533-position model. The record is from RNAcentral.